This 42-nucleotide microRNA precursor is filed under the name Sphenodon punctatus (tuatara). RNAcentral's name for it is "Spt-Mir-451_pre stem-loop". Lineage: Eukaryota; Metazoa; Chordata; Lepidosauria; Sphenodontia; Sphenodontidae. The record is from RNAcentral.
AAACCGUUACCCUUACUGAGUUUAGUAAAGGUAACGGUUCUG